Molecule: long non-coding RNA, 1085 nt
Organism: Strigops habroptila (Kakapo)
Lineage: Eukaryota; Metazoa; Chordata; Aves; Psittaciformes; Psittacidae
Exons: 2
Source: RefSeq, a predicted model, not a curated record
GGAGCGGGGUCCCGGUGCCUGGGGGCUCGGCUCGGCUCGGCUCGGCUCGGCUCGGCUCGGCUCGGCUCGGCUCCGCGCGCCGCGCUGGGGCUGCUCCCCCGCCACAGCUCCUCCCGGUGCUGCCGCCGCGCCGCCCGGCCUGCGCCUGAGCGGACGCCGGCGCCUCCGGGCGGGCUCCGAGCAGGAGACCGGAGCGAGGGUGCCGCUCUCUCGUCUUCCCGGGGCUCCUCCGAGGAGGCUUUAGCCACGGAGAACCGAGAGCGACGCCGGCCCCCGCCUGCCCUGGGCGGUCUCGGCGUCCUGGGACGGUGCCGGGCAAGGGAAACCGGGGGAAAAUGGGGCAGAGCCGGCGCCAUUUCCUCUCUUCUUCCCCCGCUGCUGGGCUCCGGUGCGGGUGCGGCGGCACCCGCCGCUGCCCGGUUACCGCUGCCUGGAGCCCCGGCCCGCGCCCGCAGCCCCGGCUCUGUGUGCCUGCCGGGAACCACGGCGGAACAGGGCAGGCACCGAGGGUCGGGGCUGCCUGCGCCGGCAGUCACCGGUGAGCGGGUUCUCGCCCUCUUCCCGCGGCGGGAGCAGCCGUGGGUUCCCGAUGACUUCCCCGGGGGCUGAGGGUCUCCCGGGGCGGCCGGUGACCCCUCCCGCGGCUGGGCUCCCUCCUCCCGACGCGGUCACGGCUGUUGCUUCUCCCCGGCUCUUCCCCGCAGCGGCUCCGGCAGGAUAGAGCUUUCCGUCCGUCCGGCGCUGGCGAGAGCUAGGACCGGUUCAGCUCAUUUAUGGCUCAGGCUCGAUGGCAGCUUCAGGACACUGUUUCUGCCCCCGUUUUUUUCAGGCCCAGCCCCCGGAUGGGUCCAGUUCCAUCGUGGCUGCAGCUUGUGUCCAUCUCCAGCUCCGUUUGCUGCUUCAACCUGCUUGUGCUUGUUGAACCGAGCCUGGCUCAUGGCCAGGUCGUAAAUCAAUCACUGUCACGAUGUGCAGAUGAAUACGACCUGUCAUAAUUGCUCACUCUCCAGCCCUGAGCUAACAAGCGCCUAGGACUCUUGCAGGGGUUGUACAUGCCUUGAGAAAAUAAAGAAUUGGAGCCCAAA